GCUGCUGUAGCUCAGUGGUAGAGCACUCCCUUGGUAAGGGAGAGGUCCAGGGUUCGAGUCCCUGCAGCAGCACCA
This 75-nucleotide transfer RNA is filed under the name Teichococcus aerophilus. RNAcentral describes it as "tRNA-Thr". It matches the Rfam family "tRNA". From Rfam's summary of the family: Transfer RNA (tRNA) molecules are approximately 80 nucleotides in length. Their secondary structure includes four short double-helical elements and three loops (D, anti-codon, and T loops). Lineage: Bacteria; Pseudomonadati; Pseudomonadota; Alphaproteobacteria; Acetobacterales; Roseomonadaceae. The record is from RNAcentral. RNAcentral also lists the same sequence under 1 other name.